Molecule: ribosomal RNA, 2641 nt
Filed under: Streptococcus pneumoniae
Lineage: Bacteria; Bacillati; Bacillota; Bacilli; Lactobacillales; Streptococcaceae
Description: bacterial LSU rRNA
Rfam family: Bacterial large subunit ribosomal RNA
Source: RNAcentral
GGGCAAACCGAAGAGUUUACUCUUCGGGGUUGUAGGACUGCAAUGUGGACUCAAAGAUUAUAGAAGAAUGAUUUGGGAAGAUCAGCCAAAGAGAGUAAUAGCCUCGUAUUUAAAAUAGUCUUUGUACUUAGCAGUAUCCUGAGUACGGCGGGACACGUGAAAUCCCGUCGGAAUCUGGGAGGACCAUCUCCCAACCCUAAAUACUCCCUAGUGACCGAUAGUGAACCAGUACCGUGAGGGAAAGGUGAAAAGCACCCCGGGAGGGGAGUGAAAUAGAACCUGAAACCGUGUGCCUACAACAAGUUCGAGCCCGUUAAUGGGUGAGAGCGUGCCUUUUGUAGAAUGAACCGGCGAGUUACGUUAUGAUGCGAGGUUAAGUUGAAGAGACGGAGCCGUAGGGAAACCGAGUCUGAAUAGGGCGCCUUAGUAUCAUGACGUAGACCCGAAACCAUGUGACCUACCCAUGAGCAGGUUGAAGGUGCGGUAAGACGCACUGGAGGACCGAACCAGGGCACGUUGAAAAGUGCUUGGAUGACUUGUGGGUAGCGGAGAAAUUCCAAACGAACUUGGAGAUAGCUGGUUCUCUCCGAAAUAGCUUUAGGGCUAGCGUCGACAUUAGAGAUUCUUGGAGGUAGAGCACUGUUUGGGUGAGGGGUCCAUCCCGGAUUACCAAUCUCAGAUAAACUCCGAAUGCCAAUGAAUUAUGGUCGGCAGUCAGACUGCGAGUGCUAAGAUCCGUAGUCGAAAGGGAAACAGCCCAGACCACCAGCUAAGGUCCCAAAAUAAUUGUUAAGUGGAAAAGGAUGUGGGGUUGCACAGACAACUAGGAUGUUAGCUUAGAAGCAGCUAUUCAUUCAAAGAGUGCGUAAUAGCUCACUAGUCGAGUGACCCUGCGCCGAAAAUGUACCGGGGCUAAAACAAUUUACCGAAGCUGUGGAUACCUUUAUAGGUAUGGUAGGAGAGCGUUCUAUGUGUGAUGAAGGUAUACCGUGAGGAGUGCUGGAACGCAUAGAAGUGAGAAUGCCGGUAUGAGUAGCGAAAGACAGGUGAGAAUCCUGUCCACCGUAAGACUAAGGUUUCCAGGGGAAGGCUCGCCCGCCCUGGGUUAGUCGGGACCUAAGGAGAGACCGAAAGGUGUAUCCGAUGGACAACAGGUUGAUAUUCCUGUACUAGAGUAUGUAGUGAUGGAGGGACGCAGUAGGCUAACUAAAGCAGACGAUUGGAAGAGUCUGUCUAAGCAGUGAGGUGUGAAUUGAGUCAAAUGCUUAAUUCUAUAACAUUGAGCUGUGAUGGGGAGCGAAGUUUAGUAGCGAAGUUAGUGACGUCACACUGCCAAGAAAAGCUUCUAGCGUUUAACCAUACUCUACCCGUACCGCAAACCGACACAGGUAGUCGAGGCGAGUAGCCUCAGGUGAGCGAGAGAACUCUCGUUAAGGAACUCGGCAAAAUGACCCCGUAACUUCGGGAGAAGGGGUGCUGACUUUAAGUCAGCCGCAGUGAAUAGGCCCAAGCAACUGUUUAUCAAAAACACAGCUCUCUGCUAAAUCGUAAGAUGAUGUAUAGGGGGUGACGCCUGCCCGGUGCUGGAAGGUUAAGAGGAGUGCUUAGCGUAAGCGAAGGUAUGAAUUGAAGCCCCAGUAAACGGCGGCCGUAACUAUAACGGUCCUAAGGUAGCGAAAUUCCUUGUCGGGUAAGUUCCGACCCGCACGAAAGGCGUAAUGAUUUGGGCACUGUCUCAACGAGAGACUCGGUGAAAUUUUAGUACCUGUGAAGAUGCAGGUUACCCGCGACAGGACGGAAAGACCCCAUGGAGCUUUACUGCAGUUUGAUAUUGAGUGUCUGUACCACAUGUACAGGAUAGGUAGGAGUCUAAGAGAUCGGGACGCCAGUUUCGAAGGAGACGCUGUUGGGAUACUACCCUUGUGUUAUGGCCACUCUAACCCAGAUAGGUGAUCCCUAUCGGAGACAGUGUCUGACGGGCAGUUUGACUGGGGCGGUCGCCUCCUAAAAGGUAACGGAGGCGCCCAAAGGUUCCCUCAGAAUGGUUGGAAAUCAUUCGCAGAGUGUAAAGGUAUAAGGGAGCUUGACUGCGAGAGCUACAACUCGAGCAGGGACGAAAGUCGGGCUUAGUGAUCCGGUGGUUCCGUAUGGAAGGGCCAUCGCUCAACGGAUAAAAGCUACCCUGGGGAUAACAGGCUUAUCUCCCCCAAGAGUUCACAUCGACGGGGAGGUUUGGCACCUCGAUGUCGGCUCGUCGCAUCCUGGGGCUGUAGUCGGUCCCAAGGGUUGGGCUGUUCGCCCAUUAAAGCGGCACGCGAGCUGGGUUCAGAACGUCGUGAGACAGUUCGGUCCCUAUCCGUCGCGGGCGUAGGAAAUUUGAGAGGAUCUGCUCCUAGUACGAGAGGACCAGAGUGGACUUACCGCUGGUGUACCAGUUGUCUUGCCAAAGGCAUCGCUGGGUAGCUAUGUAGGGAAGGGAUAAACGCUGAAAGCAUCUAAGUGUGAAACCCACCUCAAGAUGAGAUUUCCCAUGAUUAUAUAUCAGUAAGAGCCCUGAGAGAUGAUCAGGUAGAUAGGUUAGAAGUGGAAGUGUGGCGACACAUGUAGCGGACUAAUACUAAUAGCUCGAGGACUUAUCCAA